This 3828-nucleotide long non-coding RNA is filed under the name Mus musculus (house mouse). RNAcentral describes it as "long non-coding RNA chrX:163039888-163043716". The record is from RNAcentral. Lineage: Eukaryota; Metazoa; Chordata; Mammalia; Rodentia; Muridae.
GGAUAAAGGACAGAGAGCAUCUUGGCCAAGUGUGCUUGUUAGGCCGCUGUGGGUUCUGGCACACCCUUUCUCCAAAGAGAAUUGCCUUGCCAAGCUACUUGCACCUUGUUCACAUGUUCCUUUGUAUGACACUAGGGUUAUUCUUGUUUCUAAUGUGCCCUUUCUCUGCUGUCCCAUCCAUUCUCUGUGUCUCCUUACACUUUCUCUUCUACUUUUGUGUCAUAUGUGUGGUUUUAUGUAUCUCUAUAAAAUAUAGCAUCCAAAAAUGAAGGAGAAUUUGAUGCCUGUCUUUCUAAAUCUGUCAAUUCACUUAAUAAUCUCCAAGAUGGCUGAGCUGGCCAGGUGGUGGUGGUGCACACCUUUAAUCCCAGCAAUUGGGAGGCAGAGACAUGUGGAUUCCUGAGUUCGAGGCCAGCCUGGUCUACAGAGUGAGUUCCAGGACAGCUAGGGCUAUAUAGAAAAAACCCUGUUCCAAAAAAAAAAAAAAAAAAUGCUGAGUGAGUAAAGGCACCUGCUGGCAAACCUGAUGACAUGAGACCCCCUCUAAUAAAGCUCAUUGCUGAAGGGGAAUUUGUGUCAGCUCCUUUUCCAAAUGAACCUACCAUGCAACGAACCCACUAUGCAGCCUCUCUUCACUGAAAUCUAACAAAGUUCUACAAGGAGUAUUUAGAAGAUGCAUUUGUUUAAAUGCCCCUGACUCCUCACUUGGGCUCACAAAGGAACUAAAAGCAAGAUGGAAACCUGGCAUCUCUGCCUUCCUUUUUCAUCUAUCUCCCUCCCCUACUUUUUUUUUUGGUAAAUUAUUUUAUUUACAUUUCAGCUCCCUCAUCCCACUCCUACCCCCACCCCUAAGGUUCUGUGCCCCGCCCCACCUCCCCCCUUCCCAGAGGCCUCAAGUCUCUAAAGGAUCGAGUGCAUCUUCUCCCAGAGGCCAGACCAGGCAGGCCUCUGCUGUGUAUGUGCUUGGAUCAGCCAUGGUACUGCUUGGUUGGUGGCUCAGUCUUUCUCCCUCCCCUACUUUGCACUUGAUUCCUGCUUGACUCUGCACACAGAACCAAUGGGUACCUAUCUAGGAACGGGCGAUACCUAACCUAUCUUAUCCCUCCUCUAGUCUGAAGGUACAAAGAUAAGAUUAAGGCAUAUUCUUGUCAGCAGCUCCCUGUCCCCCACACAUACAUGGCACCUAAAAGUCCCCACUCACUGCCAGAUCCCCUGGAGCUGGAGCUGCCUGAUGUGGGUCUGGGAAUCGAACUCUCGUCUUCUGCAAGAACAGCAAGUGCUCCUAAUCACUGAGCCAUCUCUCCAAAGCCUCCCACCCAACCCCCCUUAUGAAAUUGAUAGCUCAACCCCCUUCAUGGUCAUUUUUGCUGCUGUGAUUUUUUUCCUUGAACUUUCUAUUUAGUUGAGAAUUUUUUUUCAAUUUUUAUUAGAUAUUUUCUUCAUUUACAUUUCAAAUGCUAUUCCGAAAGUCCCCUAUACCCUCCCCCUACCCUGCUCCCCUACCCACCCACUCAAACUUCUUGGCCCUGGCGUUCCCCUGUACUGGGGCAUAUAAAGUUUGCAAGACCAAGAAGUUGUGCAUUCAUGCACAUCUAUCAUGUUAGGUCAGCAGUGAGCACUCACUGUACUUCCUCAAGUGCUCAGCUUCUGCAAGUCAUAGAUGGUGCAUAAGUGAGGUGAGAGACUCGGGCACAUGAAGUGGAAAGAACAUAUCCUUUCCUUUGCCUGUGUUAGGUUCAUGACUGAGGUUCCCAUGACAAAAGACAGAUUCACAAGGGGAAAACCCCCAUUAUUUAAUAUGAAUUUUGUGUUUCAUGGGACCUUCGUUAAAAAACCAAGAGAUGAAACAUACUGUGGGGUAUGUCAGGUCUAAUGAAGAGUCAUGGAGACAUAGUAAGGUAAAGCAUUAUAGUAGCUUGGUAAUGGCUACCUCCAAAUAUAGAUGUUACCAGACUCUUAAGGUCCCUAUAGCCUGCUGUGACCCAGGAGACUGAGAUUAUUGGAAGGAAAUAGAUUUGUUCAAAUCCAGUUUUUGGAGGAAAACAGGAGAUUUUUCCAUCUCAAAUAUCCGUUUGUAUGUGUUUGGGGCAGUGUGUGUGUGUGUGUGUGUGUGUGGUGGGGCUCAGGCACAGUGGGGGUAAUGAACAGAAACUCUAAGUUCUGGGAAGGGUCUUCCUCUCCAGCUCCUGCCUCCCUGUUUCUUCCUCCUCAGAAUGAGCCUCUGCCUCUAAGGCCAGCUUCAUUAUCUCUUUUCAAACCAACUUUACUUUUUUGCAAGUUCUUUCAUAGAUUCUAAGCCUAGAGUCUAAGGAGAGGAGUGGGUGUUCCAGAAGCCUCUCUAGAACAGCAUCACAGGGAUGAGGGAUGAGACUAGGGAAAAGAUGAGAAGACAAGGUGAAGAAAUAGCUUCUUCUUGAUUGGUACCUAAGAAGGGCACCUCUCAGCCCAGGAUCUCAUGACCUGCUUCAGGGAAUGCCAACAUCUGUCCUGGGCUUCUUGAUCUGCUUCAGGGAUGGAGGAAAGGAGAAGGCCCAAGAGACAUUCCUGUAUGUGCUUGUCUCUCCUACCACACCAAUAAUGUUUGAUGCCCUGGAUUUCAUGUCAAGCAGCUUUUGAUUUUAUGACUCAUGUCCGUGCAUAUUUGGAAAAGAUGUUUCCAAGUUCCCCAAGAUGCCAUCCAGCUUGGUCCAGAGUCCAGCUUGGACCCCAGAGUGAGGGGUCCAUUUUCCACAUCCAUGAUCUCUCCAGCGUAACUUGCCUUUUCUGAGAAGAUUGCCAGUAAGAAGCUAGAGAGUUGAGUAUACGCCAUUUGGUUAUGGCAUCUUGUUGAUUUUUAGACAGGAUAUCACUAUGGAGCUCUGCCUGGCCUGGAACCCACAGAAGGUCUGCUUCUGCCUCCCAGGUGCUGGCUUUAUAUGCACAUACUACUGGUAACACCAAGCUGUUUAUUUUUCUUUUUCACACAGUUUCUCAUUCUGUAGUCUAAGCUGUCCUGCAACACCCUAUGUAUUCCAGGCUGGUCUCAAACUCAAGAUUAUCCUCACCUCCUAAAUGCUGGGAUUGCAGAUAUGAAUCACCAUGCCCAGCUGGAACUAAUUUUAAAGCCUAAACAAUUUAGAUUGUCUAUUUUUUUCCUCCCUGCCAUUUUCUUGAAACAAAAACUUUAAAAAAUGUAUGUUUGGUGUUGGUUUUUUUCCUCCGGGGAGACUGCUUUUAGUUAGUAUGCUGGGAACAACAUUUUAUAGCAUAAGAUAAAGUCUCAGAACCUAGAGGUUAGAGCCAGUGGUCCAGAAAGCUGACCUAUCUAGGCUGCAUCACUGUCCUCAAGAGGGCUCUUUGAGCUAGAGAUACUGCAACACAGCCCAGAGUGACAAGGCCAGUUGUCAUGAUAGUUGCUUUUGCAGAUAAUUUAAUGGUGUGAGAGCAAUAUGCAAUUUGAAUAAUCCAUAUUGCUGGAGUCACAAUUUCUUAGAGUAUUUUGACAAGUGUAUAUUGUUUUAUAAGGCCUAGGAUUAAAGAAAACUCAAGUAAUUUUCAAGUUAGAAGGAACUUCUUUGGCUCUACUGUUGCUGUUCUUUUCAUGGCUUUAAAUACUCAUUUUUUUCAUUUUUUGAGAUAAUAUGUUUACGUUGGCCUUUUUGGUUUUUUUGUUUGUUUAAUUGUUUGUUUGAGUCGUGGCCUUACUAUUGACUUGAACUGGCCCUGAACUCUCAGCUUCUCAGAUGUAGGGAUUACAAAGUGUGAGCCAUUGCCCACAGGCUUUCCUGCCGCUUUUGAAAUACCUUGGCAUUUCUGAGUGAAUAAAAAGGUUUCAUGGUUUCUCUCUGU